AAUGUACAAUUAGGGUUGAGAUAUUGGAACCUCAAGACUUCGAGAUUUAUAGAAAUGGUUUUCCUUCUUCCCUAAGAAUAAGAAUCCUUUUGAUAAAAGGUAGAAAAUCUUCGUUCCAAACGAUAGUACGGCUUCAGGAUAAAACCCUAAUCUGUCUAUUAACUACUUUAGUACGUUCACAACAUGAAUUUACUCUUGGCUAACUUCGAUUCUUUGUAAAACCGAAAUUGAAAUCACGAUCAAGGUGCGUAAUCAAACAAAUCAAUCAAUGAAUUUAAAGACAGGACACUACAUAAACCCUCGGUUUCUUUUCUUCGAUUUUGGAAAGCGUCGAGUAAUCUUUCAAAUUGAAUUUACCCUAUUUCUUUGAAUGCACCAUUUGCUCACCUGAUUCAUAUGCAAAGCCAUUGCUUCGAGCAGACUAGCAGUCAAUUUUCAUUGGCGGCUCUUCGACUUUGGCCAUCAAUUUUAGAGUCCAUAUCUUCUUCUUCCAUUGAAGGCGAUUAGUUUUUCAGGAGCAAAUCCAUAAAUGUGUUAACAUAAUGUGAUCUGAUCCUGGAUAUCUCAGCGUGAAGCAUUGGAUCCCAUAAUAAGAACUCCAAAAUGCACGAGAAUGCAUUUUCUUUCCCGAGAAGCUCCUUCAAGUGGGCCUCAGUCGUGCUACUAUAAUUUGAGAGGCCAUAUAUUUGUUCAGUAGAUGGUUGUCAAUCCAGUUAUAGAAGAGAGGAUCAUUUGACAUGCCACCUUCUCCAGCACCAAGGAACAACAUUCAAGUGUUCAAUUGAGCCUUGUAGCCGUGAAUUUGCAUACCUAUCUAGCGUAAAUAGACACUUGAAAGAAUUCCAUGAUGAUAAUUCUCCUCUUGAAGUUGAAUGUCAGAAACAGUUCGUUUGUCCAAAGGAUGAAUGUGGAAAAGUGUUUAGAUAUGCAUCUCGACUGCAAAAGCAUGAAGAUUUCCAUGUUAAGCGGUCAAUAGAUAUCAUUGUACUGCACCGAGUUACGGAAGUGGGUUGCCUUCACAGCAUGCGAUUUCACGAUGGAUGAGGAAUGCUAAGGCUUUUUUGUGAGUAGUAUCCGAACCUCAAACCUCUUUUGGUUGUGGGCAUAGGCCUUUUAAAGCUUUGUUUGCUGAAACUCUACUAGAAAGAAGUGGCCCCCUUUGGUACAAAUCCAUGCUCAUUACAAAUGUUUGGUGGCUAACCAGUGUAUAGAAUGAUAGAAUCGGUAUGUAUAAUCAUACCCAACGGAGAAAAAAGAGAACAAUGAUAAACACUAAAAAGCGAUGUGUUAUCGUCUAAGUGUUUGCCAGUGUGUUUUGUCUUUUCCCCUCUUAUUCUCUCCAAAAGUAAUAUACUUCUUUGUCUUGUGGAUUUCAAAACUCGUGUAAAAGUGCCAUUUUAACAAAAUUUUAUUAAUUAUUAACCA
Long non-coding RNA from Cucumis melo (muskmelon), 1425 nucleotides. RefSeq lists it as uncharacterized. NCBI's taxonomy places the organism in Eukaryota, Viridiplantae, Streptophyta, Magnoliopsida, Cucurbitales, Cucurbitaceae. The transcript has 4 exons. The record is from RefSeq and is a predicted model, not a curated record.